CAAUACUCAGUCAAAUAGAUAAAGGAACAAGCCCACGUGAAACAAGCUGAUCUCAUCAGAUAUUAGGCUCAGCCUAAUCCCAAACGCCCCAGGGGUGCGAAUGCAGCACACAUAACCGCACAAUUGGAGAAGAUGAGUCAAUCCAUAUUCCGGCAAGACAUGAAAACAGAGUUUCGGUAAAAAAUCAGAAACAACAAACACCAAAGUCAAUCAAAGAAACACAAUCGAAAAAUCAGUGGGAGCAAGUGCCCCCCUGCCCCAGGCAUAGAUCCGUCGCUGCCCAGCCUCCUCCAAAUUCUCUCUCGUUGCCGGAGAUUUCAGGGGGGUCAUAUGGCCCCCCCCUCGACCCCCCUGGUUCCGCCUCUGCGUGUGGCAGAUGUGGUACUGGAGAUAUUCGCAUUGGGACAACAAUUCUUGAAUGUGCUCCCUAUAAGUUUGUAAUUUGCCCGCUAUGUCGUCUAGAAGUGUAAUUGUUUGAUAGUCAAAAUAUUCUAUUCAUCCCCUGUCUAAUCUUUUAUUCCAUGUUAUAUGUUGUUUCUUAAUUUAACUUAACUAUUAAUUUACAAUUAACUUUUUAAAUUGAUAAACCUGACACUUGAAUAAGAGACAGAACAAUGGAUGAG
RNAcentral lists this long non-coding RNA (623 nucleotides) under Panax ginseng (ginseng). RNAcentral describes it as "long non-coding RNA (PGIN_LNC017182)". Lineage: Eukaryota; Viridiplantae; Streptophyta; Magnoliopsida; Apiales; Araliaceae. The record is from RNAcentral.